Fundulus heteroclitus (mummichog) is the source of this 533-nucleotide long non-coding RNA. RefSeq lists it as uncharacterized. The record is from RefSeq and is a predicted model, not a curated record. The transcript is spliced from 4 exons. NCBI's taxonomy places the organism in Eukaryota, Metazoa, Chordata, Actinopteri, Cyprinodontiformes, Fundulidae.
UUGCACAAGUGAGAAGUCUCAGGGAGGAGAGACUGGUGUCGAGUUCAGGGCCUCACCUGUUCUUGACAGUCCUGUCUCUGCUCACCAUGAGCCGCAUCUCCAAGCAGUCCAACAAUGCUCCACCACUAUACAAUGCACUGGUGAUUUUGGGGAUGUCGAAGAUGGAGGACUGGAUGGUUUUCCUGCAUCUUCCAGAGAAGGAGACUCCCACACUGGCCAGAACAGCAGAGUGGAAGAGACUGUCUUGUCCUCUACUGCCACAGCACAGAUCAUAAACAACCAAGAGGACUGCAAAGAAAGCGAGGCUGAUGUCCAAGACAACAUCCAACCUGCGUCUUAAAGUCAAGACAAGACUCCCGAGAAAGAUUGCCCUUGAAGAGCUAACGCACCUGCCAUCAGGGCUUGCAAAAUGAUUCACAUUUCUUUAACUUUUCCACAUAUAGUCACAUUACAACCAAAAAUACAAAUACAUUUUAUUGGAGUCUUAUGUGAAAGACAAAGUGGUAUACAACUGUGAUGUAGCAAGAAACUAA